This 253-nucleotide ribosomal RNA is filed under the name uncultured bacterium. RNAcentral describes it as "partial 16S ribosomal RNA". It matches the Rfam family "Bacterial small subunit ribosomal RNA", at positions 524 to 776 of the family's 1533-position model. The record is from RNAcentral.
UACGUAGGCAGCGAGCGUUGUUCGGAGUUACUGGGCGUAAAGGGUGUGUAGGCGGUUGCUUAAGUUUGGUGUGAAAUCUCCCGGCUCAACUGGGAGGGUGCGCCGAAUACUGAGUGACUAGAGUGCGGGAGAGGAAAGUGGAAUUCCUGGUGUAGCAGUGAAAUGCGUAGAUAUCAGGAGGAACACCGGUGGUGUAGACGGCUUUCUGGACCGUAACUGACGCUGAGACACGAAAGCGUGGGUAGCAAACAGG